GGAAUAAUAUGACUUUCUCAAGUAUACAGUCGGAAAAAAUAUUUCAUAUUUCACUUAUAUAUUGGUUGAUUAUUAUGUUGGUUUACUCUUUUCAUUUCCAAAGUAAAUGAUGAAAUAAAGAGAAGAGGGUAACAUGACAUCCUCGUGUGAAGAUGAUUUUCCAACAUUUAUUAAAGAAUGGGAAUAACGUGACUUUCCUAAUCCUAUAGUUGAGAAAACAUUUUCAAAACUAUGCAUGUUCUUGGUUUGGCGUUAAAAACAAUUAUAUGAUUUUUCCAACACAUGCCUAUUUGUUAAUGAGAAGGAAUAAUGUGACUUCCAGAUUAAAAAGUUGGAGAACAUUCGAUUUAUUUUGUGUUACAUACCCAUUUGGUAAUUUAUUGGAACGUAGAUAUAUUUUUCUGGAUCUAUUUGGAAUUUAUUUGAGGUUCAUAUGCACUAAAAACUUAUUUGAAAUAUUUUAUUCCAUGAGGAAAUUACUUUUCUUGCAUUCUAAACAGUUAAUUAACAUUCCUGGAAUUUUCUGGACUUUUUCCGAAUCGGUUUGGUAUUUUAUUUGCCUUAUGUGAAUUUCUGACGAUUUAGAGACCGAGAAAAGCUAUUUUUUUAUUUCAUUUUCUAUUUCUUCCGCGGAGUACGUUUUCUUUGCGAGGAGGCAUAUUCUACUGAAACCCGUCUCCACUUAAGUGUACCGAAAAGGUUUCUUCUAAUCUCAGCCAUCCAUCUCUCAUCCAACAGCCUAUCUCUCUCUUUUCUUUUCUUUUCUUUUCCUUUUCUCCUUUUCUUUUUCUCUCCUUCCUCCUUUCUUCUUCCUCACGAACACACCAGGCUUCCUGGCUGCACAGCGCCAUGGCCAAGCACCGGCCACCCGCUGCUGCUCCCCCCCG
This 887-nucleotide long non-coding RNA is filed under the name Brachypodium distachyon (stiff brome). RNAcentral's name for it is "long non-coding RNA (BDIS_LNC005496)". The record is from RNAcentral. Lineage: Eukaryota; Viridiplantae; Streptophyta; Magnoliopsida; Poales; Poaceae.